RNAcentral lists this ribosomal RNA (431 nucleotides) under Escherichia coli. RNAcentral's name for it is "partial 23S ribosomal RNA". It matches the Rfam family "Bacterial large subunit ribosomal RNA", at positions 1302 to 1735 of the family's 2925-position model. The record is from RNAcentral. Lineage: Bacteria; Pseudomonadati; Pseudomonadota; Gammaproteobacteria; Enterobacterales; Enterobacteriaceae.
AUAAGUAACGAUAAAGCGGGUGAAAAGCCCGCUCGCCGGAAGACCAAGGGUUCCUGUCCAACGUUAAUCGGGGCAGGGUGAGUCGACCCCUAAGGCGAGGCCGAAAGGCGUAGUCGAUGGGAAACAGGUUAAUAUUCCUGUACUUGGUGUUACUGCGAAGGGGGGACGGAGAAGGCUAUGUUGGCCGGGCGACGGUUGUCCCGGUUUAAGCGUGUAGGCUGGUUUUCCAGGCAAAUCCGGAAAAUCAAGGCUGAGGCGUGAUGACGAGGCACUACGGUGCUGAAGCAACAAAUGCCCUGCUUCCAGGAAAAGCCUCUAAGCAUCAGGUAACAUCAAAUCGUACCCCAAACCGACACAGGUGGUCAGGUAGAGAAUACCAAGGCGCUUGAGAGAACUCGGGUGAAGGAACUAGGCAAAAUGGUGCCGUAACU